RNAcentral lists this small nucleolar RNA (121 nucleotides) under Caenorhabditis japonica. RNAcentral's name for it is "sRNA CJA48527". It matches the Rfam family "Small nucleolar RNA sn2417". Lineage: Eukaryota; Metazoa; Nematoda; Chromadorea; Rhabditida; Rhabditidae. The record is from Rfam by way of RNAcentral.
GAGGAGUUGAUGAGAACUCUAAUCCAUUCUCUGAGCGAGAAGGAUGGCGGACGCGGGACCGCUUAAGGGUGUUAAGGUGGACGGUAGAGUUUUUCUGCAGCCACUGCCCUCCGCUGAACCC